GUAAUAUUGUUGAUGAUUUUAUUGAUCCAAACUUAUUUGAGACUAAGUCAUAGUUGUUGUUUAUAAUAUUGGUGGUAAUUUUAUUGAUCUAAACUUGUUUGCAUAGUUGUUGUUCAUGUAAUAUUGCUGAUGAUUUGAGGAUUGACAAUAAUGUUUUGGUUUCUAGUAAGCCUUAUGUGAGAUUUAUGCUCAGCUCAAACCUUUAGUUCUGCGGGGCAAACCAAACUUGUCCAGCUUUUGGAGGUUUAUAGGCUUGUUUUCAGUUUUGACAAGCCUUGCAUGUGUUCAAUUAUGUCUACUUUAGCAUGUUGUAUUUGCACAUAAAACAAGACAUUUAUGUCAGCAUUCUGUAAUUUAGGUAUGGUAAAGAAAUGGUGGAACCUUCGUCCCAAUCAAGACCAAGCCAAGAAAGGUCCCGAAGCACGGCUUCCUCAGAUUCCCUUGUGGAUCUUUCCAGGUCAGUGUCUUCAAUGCGAAGUAUAAAUUUUCCACCUUUCGACCUGUCAUAAUGACGUUGUUAAUAGCAAAAGAGUCGAAGUAAACAAAAGCGCCAAGUAAAUUGGAGAAGAAAACAAGGAAGGGGGACGGACCGCGCAUACAAGUAGUUAAAGAGUGCAGUUCUAGCGCCUCCGACGUGGAGAUUGCCGGUAGGAGACGGCGCAAAACGAACUCGGACAUCCCCUUCAUCCCCUGCUAAAGCAAAAACCGAAAAACUUCUUCUUCCUCUACUCCGGAAGCAGAGACUUUGCCGGUUGCCACAAUAUAAUAGUGACUGCCCAUUCGAGAUUAACCUUGCUCUUAACCACGGCGCCCCAGCCAGCGUAGCCAUUCCAGAUUUCUUUUCAAUCUUCAAUAUGUCGGGAUAACGAUGAAUUAGUUAUUCAAGGGACCCGAUUAAUUGACCCUCGGACCACUCCGCUCCGAACCCAAAUAUAAGUGAAUUUCAAAUUAUUUUUCAAAAAUUUAUUUUUAUUUUUUUAACUUUAGUUUCAACUUUAUUUAUUGUUAUAAAUAAUUUUUUUUAUUUAUUUUUCUAAAACAUUCUAUUUAAUUCCAUCCAAUAAUUGGAGUUAACUAUCUAAGUAUUACAUUACUCACUUCUUCCUAUUUUCAUCGAUAAAAGAUAUUAAAGUUCAAUUUCAAUUUUUCCUUCAACGGAAUCUUAAUAUGUUCAUUCUUACGAUUUUUUAUUCAACACUAAAAACAAAAACACCAUUAUUAUCUCCUCUCACAUUUGGUUGUAUCUUGUAGGUAAAUUAGUUAAGUUGGACAAUUUUGAUAAUUUUAGAAAAUUAAAAGUAUAAAAUUAUAUUUAAAAAAAUCUUUUCAAAAGUUUAACAAUAAUUUAAAAAGACAUGCUCAAACAUAACUCCUAUUCCAACUUCAAUUCUAAGAAAAUUGUAGCUUCAUGGUUAAACAUCUAUUAAAAAUAUAUUGUUACAUGUACACCGUUUUAAAUCUCAUUUAGUCGUUAUAAAUAAAAAUAUGAAAAUAAAUUGUUUAAUGAAUUUGUUUAUCAAUGGAUUAUUUGGUACAAAGACAAGUAAGGUAGGAAAUAGUAAUGCAAAGGAUUAGCAAUGUAGGAAUUAGUAAUGCACGAAUGAUAAAGCUUAAAUUACUUUUUAUCAAGUGCUUGAUUCAUUAUAUUAAAAACUAAAUAUAUCGUGUGUCGUGUUUGAUUUAAAACUCUACAACAUUCUCCUUUAUAAUUAUACCCUUUAAUUUUUGUGAGAUUGUCUAUCUCACUAAAUUUAGUCAAGUUAAAAACUAAAAUAUGAAUAAAAAUUUAUUACUAAUUUUAGGUGUAAUGUGUCACUACAAAAAUCCUUGAUAGAACAAUGUACUUUCAAUAUUUUUAUUGGCCAAAUAUGUCUUAAAUUUAUCAUAAAUUUAAGGUUACAUAAAUAUUUAAAUACCUUAAGUUUUUUUUAAAAAAAAAAAAAAAAAAGAGANNNNNNNNNNNNNNNNNNNNNNNNNNNNNNNNNNNNNNNNNNNNNNNNNNNNNNNNNNNNNNNNNNNNNNNNNNNNNNNNNNNNNNNNNNNUAAUAAUAAUAAUAAUAAUAAUAAAGCAAAUCAAAAUAGAGAAAAAAAAAUCAAACAUUAAUUUAUAAAAUCACCAGAUUACAAUGAAUCAGAUUUGGAGAAUCAAAAAGGACAUUUAUAACCAACUCAAUAUAAUUUAAAAAGACAUUAGAUUACAAAAGAAAUUUAGAUGGGGAAUUGAGGGAUAAUUUAGUCAUUUAGAGAUGUUAUUUAUGGAUUAUUAAAUCUUCAAUAAGUUAUUUUUUCAUUUGUUAAGAAUAAAAUAAGAUCUCAUACAGUGUAUAAAUAAUUUAUGCAUUAAAUUAAAAGAAGUAAUCAAAUAAUGUAUUGGAUAAGGUUAUAUUUUAAUUCAAAAAUUAUUCUAAUUAGUGCGGCCUAUCAAACGGAAUGUAAUUGUUAACGUUUAACACACAAAUAGAAAGACUCUGCAUGUGAAAAGGCAAACACCAUUUGUCUUCCUCAGAAAAUGUGAUCAUAACUGACGGACGCUAUUUAUUUUUUUAUUUUUAUUUUUUUGCUUUUAGAUAUUUGAAUAACUCCGACCAGCUAUGUUGUAUAAAGUAAAGUGUUGAUCAGUUAUGAACUCUCAUAUUCAAAAUUUAAAGGUGACGGAGAUAAGGAUAUUGCGAUGAAUGUGUGGUCAUACCAGGAAAGAUAGGGUGAGGAGUGAGAUUAUUCGAGAGAAGGUGUGAGUGACUUCGGUGGAGGAUAAUAUACAAGAAGUGAGGUUACGUUGGUUCGGACACGUGAUGAGGAAGGGUUCUGAUGCUCCAGUGCAGAGGUAUGAGACACUGGCUAUGGGUGAUUUUAGAUGGGGUAGAGGUAGGCCGAAGAAAUAUUGGAGGGAGGUGAUUAAGCAUGAUAAUGAGCAGUUACAACUUAUGGAGGACAUGAAGGAAGGUGUGGAGGAUACGGAUUAGGGUAGAGGGUUGGGGGAUGGGAGUGUGUCGAUAACAGUAGGGGACAUUCUUUAUUUGUGUCUGAAAUUUCUUGUUCGCGGGUUGAGUUUUAUCUAUGAUUUCGGAUAUAUAGUUUUUAGUAGUAUCUUGUGGCUCUAGUAUUAUCUUGUGGCUAGCGUUGUUAGUUUAUUUUGCUUAUACAAGUUUAUAUGCAUUUGUGUUUUGUGUUUGCUAUACCGUUAUUGGUUCUAAGCCGGGGGUCUAUCUAACACAGUCUCUCUACUUCACCUGAGGUAGUGGUAUGGUCUGAGUACACUCUACCCUUCCCAGACCCAACUAGGUGGGAAUACACUGGGUAUGUUGUUGUUGUAGAUAUUUGUAAUUUAAAUUCAUGAUACUAAUUAAGGAUUGACAUAUUUUGGUUCAAAUUGAAAAAAAAAAAAAAUCAAAACGAAAUUUAAUUUUAAUUUCAAUUUUUGAAUUUUUUGGAUUGAUUUCGAUUACAAAUUUUUGAAAUUCGAUUAAACAGUUUGAUUUUUUUUUUUCAAAAAAAAAAUAGUUAAAUCGAAAAAUCAAAAUUAUAUAAAUAGUAUAUAUAGUUUAUUUUAUAAUCUCUCUCUCUCACACACACAUAUACAUACAUAUAUAUAUAUAUAUAUAUAUAUACAUACAUAUAUAUAUAAUAUUUUCUUUUCUAUAUAUUCGAAGAGAUGGUUUCAACAUGUGAGCUUUUUGUCUUUAAAUUCAAUAUUGAGAGUAUUAAUGUCUUUAAAAUAAGUUCUAAGCUCAAUUUGAUAAUCUUUUGUGCUUUGUUUUUUUAACCUCCUUAAAUUUUUUAAUAAAAGCUAAUUUUUUUCUCUUUACUUACCAACAAUACCAUGUAAGAAAUUUACAAUAAUGCCAUCACAUGUGGCCUUGCAUAUAUUUCCACAUAUGUGGGCCCCCCUAUAUUCCAUUUAUUUUUCAUUUUUAUUUAUCUUUUUUUAUGUAUAAAAUUAUUUCAAAUAUAUUAUGUUUAAGUAAAUUGAUUAGUAAGAUGAUAAUUUAUUGUAAAAAUUAAUUAUUGAUACAAUUAAAUAAUUUUUAUUCUUUAUUUAAUUUCAUACCAAACAUAUAAUUUACUUUCUUUUUUAUUUGUUACUACAAUUUCACCUAAUUUUAUUUUAUUUUUUCUAAUAUAUAGAAAAGAAAAUUUCGAUAUGUCUGCUUAUGUUGUCUACUUCAACUGCUUCAAUCGUGACUUUAUUAUAUUGUUCCUAAUUAAUUAUUAUAAGUCAUUUAUAUAUUAAAAAAAUAAUAAUAUUUAAUUUAAAAAACAUACAUUUAUGACAUGUCUAUUUCGGUUGUUUCAAUCGUAAUUUUACUUUCAGUUACAUCAUUUUUAAUAAAUUAUUAUAAAUUAUUUAUAUAUUAAAAAAUUAAUAAUAUUUAAUAUAAAAAGUAAAAUAGACAUUUAUGACAUGCCUGCUUCAGCUGCUUUAAUCAUAAUUUUACUAAAUAUCAUCCCUGAUUAAUUAUUAUAAGUCAUCUAAGUAUUUAAAGCAGCUCUCCGUCGAUCUGUCGGCUUCAGCUACUUGUUCCAUGCUUUUAUACCUCUAAUUAAUUAUUAUAAGCCAUCUAAGUAUUAAAUAAAUAAAUAAUAUUUAAUUAAAAAGAUAAAAUAGAUAUAAAAUGAUAAGUCAACUCUUGAUGUUUUAAAAUAAUUUGACGUCUUAAGUGAGAUUUCAUUUACUUUUUUUUUUCACAAGUAUCUUUUAUAGAAAUUCUAUUAUAUCACUUCUAAUUAGUUGUUGUGAGUCAUUUAAGACAUGUCUAUUUCGUUGCUUCAAUCGUGAUUUUACUACAUCACCUCUAAUUAAUUAUUAUAGUCAUCUAAGCAUCAUGUCACUUAAAUUGGAGUAGAAAAAGUUUUACACAAUAAUUAUAAUUUUAAUAUAUUUAGAAAAUAUAAUUGACUAUCAGUGACACAAAACUCUGGACAAGGAGAGUAGCGUAUAUUUUUUAAAAAAUUACAUUAAAAAUAUUAUAAAUUACAAUAAUUAAAAACUUGAAAUAUAUAAAAAUAAUUUAACCUAUUAUGUAUUUUUAUAAACUACUUAAAAAAAAUACUAUAAAUCAUAAUAAUUAAAAACUUAAAAAUUUUAAAUGAUAUAAAUAUUUGGUUGACUCUCGAAAUUGUAUCAGUUUCACUUAAAUUGAAAUAGAAGAAAAAUAUUAUAAAUCACAAUAAUUAAAAUUUUAAAUUAUUUUAAAAAUUCAAUUGACUAUCAAUGCCACAAAAGUUUGAAUAGAUGGAGUAACAUAUGUUAUUUUAAAAUUACAUAAAAAAUAUUAUAGAUUACAAUAUUAACAACUUAAAAUAUUUAAAAACAUAUUAAAAGUAUGAUUGAUUAUCUAAAUUCAAUUUGUGUCAUAGAAAUUGAGACAAAAAAACGAGUUCAUGCAAGAUCCCGNNNNNNNNNNNNNNNNNNNNNNNNNNNNNNNNNNNNNNNNNNNNNNNNNNNNNNNNNNNNNNNNNNNNNNNNNNNNNNNNNNNNNNNNNNNNNNNNNNNNNNNNNNNNNNNNNNNNNNNNNNNNNNNNNNNNNNNNNNNNNNNNNNNNNNNNNNNNNNNNNNNNNNNNNNNNNNNNNNNNNNNNNNNNNNNNNNNNNNNNNNNNNNNNNNNNNNNNNNNNNNNNNNNNNNNNNNNNNNNNNNNNNNNNNNNNNNNNNNNNNNNNNNNNNNNNNNNNNNNNNNNNNNNNNNNNNNNNNNNNNNNNNNNNNNNNNNNNNNNNNNNUGAAAGAUGGUAACUUAUAGUUUUCUUUUCUAUAUAAUUUUUGUAACACUUAAAAUUUGAAUUUAAAAUAUUAAUUUAGUUUAACUUCAAAGAACAAGGUGACAAAUAAAAUAGAAGGGAAAAAUGAAAGCAAAUGAUGUUCAUGGCGGCUUAGUAAAGGAAUAUAACGCGGGUUAUUAAUUGCAAUUCACAUGUAAUAUAAUAUGUAAUGACUAGAUAACCUUUUAUUUUUUUCAACACUUAUUCUCAAGUCUUAUGUAUCAUUUUUAAUCUCAAAUUUUCUACUUAAUGUAGCAAAUCUCAAUCAUAUGAUUAAAGAUAUAAACUUGAGAAAAGACAUUCCCCUCCCCCCCUGAACUUGUCCUCUAACUAAAACUUAACUUCAGUUUAUUUACCCCCUUAAUAUCUUUAAAGUGUAUUUGUUUCACCCCUCAAAACUGAAUAUCACUCUCUGUUACUCGUACAAUAGAGAGUGGAUUACAUACACGUCAUGUCAAUGUCAAAUCAGUACCACAUCAGUGCCAGGUCAUUGCCUCGUAAGGAAUUAGGAUUUUUUUUUAAAUCCCACACACAUACUACUUUUAUGUAUUUUAAUUUUAAAAAAUAAAAAAUAUAUAUUUACUAUUUUAAUAUAAAUAAUAUAUAUAUAUAUAUAUAUAUAUAUAUAUAUAUAUAAUAAAAAAUUCAACCCCCCUCCCCCAAUCUCUUUCUCCCUUCCAUCACACCCCCCCCCCCCCCCCCCCCCCUCCCCUCCCCCCUCCCCCCCCCCCCCCCNNNNNNNNNNNNNNNNNNNNNNNNNNNNNNNNNNNNNNNNNNNNNNNNNNNNNNNNNNNNNNNNNNNNNNNNNNNNNNNNNNNNNNNNNNNNNNNNNNNNNNNNCCUUUCAUCCCCCCACCCCCACCCUCUUCUUUCUUAUCCAAACACAAAAAUACUUUAAUCAAGUUAAAAUUAUUUUUUUCAAAUUGUCUUAUCAACAAAAAAAAUCAAAAGUAAAAAUCAAAAGAAAUCUCAUUGAUGAUAAGUGAUUCAAAAAAAAUCAUCAAUUUAAUUUAAUUUUUAUCUAAAUUUUGAGUGAGUUGGAUUGAAGGUUGAGCUGGUGUACAAUUGAGAAAAUUAUUUAAUAGUGUUUUCAUGUUUGUUCUUGGGUGGUGUUUGUAAUACCCCGUAUGUUUCUAAGCUAGGAAAUGAACCAUUGUUCCUAUGUAUGAAACCUCCUAUCUUGUGAUUCAUAUUUGAGUACAUGACUUACAAUGAGUAUCCUAGUGAUAAGAUAGCUUAUGAUGCGUUAAGCAUGUUCAUAUGAGUCACUUAGAGCAAGGCAAGCUAUGAGCUUUUGAAUCCAUCAAGUUUUAGUGUUUGAUUUCACAAGAGUAAUCUUUGAACAAGAAUAACUUGAUUUAUAUAUAGUAUUUUGGUAUAUUUAGACCCAUCAAAUUGUAUAGAAUCGAAUUAGCUUUCCAACGAUAUUAAUUUUACAAAAAUCUGACACCCGAGCAAGAAGUUAUGGCUUUGCAAAGUGGAGUACGUCACCUAACAAAUGGAAUAAGGCUACUGGAAUGAGUAUGCCAUAGGUUGUGCGACGCACACCCUAAAGUGUGCCAUAAGGCGUGCGACGCAUACCUUGGCUUAUGCCAUAAGAUGUGCGGCGCACACCUUAGCUUAUGCAAUAAGGUGUGCGACGCAUACUUAGGAUUCCAGUGAGGAAAACACUUCAUUUUUGAGUUAUUUUGAGGGCAACUAAGUCUUUUGACGCUCCUUACACGUCCCUAAACUUAACCUUACGAAAUUUAUAGCUCCUAAUCACUUUACAACCCUAUUAACAUCUUAAGUUCAUUAUCCAAGAGCACAAUAGGAGAAAAACAAUUAGGGUUGCACCAUCAAGCUUGAAGGUCCAAUCUUUUAACAAUUUCAUCACCAUUAAGGUAUGCGUAGUGUUUAUCUAUGGAUUCCUUUCAUUCAUAGAGUUCAAGAACCAUGUUUUAGAUAUUACUUUGUGAUUUUCUUGUUGUGAUAUGAACAUGUAAAUGUCGAUGAUUUGUUGUUUAAAUUUCAAGAUGAUAUCUAAAGGUGUUUUCAUUAAGUAUAUGUGUUUGUUAGUUGAAACCCAUGAAUUUUGGGUGGUUUAAUAUGGUGAGAUUUAUGAACACACCUAAUCCAAAAGAAUGCAUGCAAAGUGUUUGAUAAAAUGCCUAAGAUGAUAGGAUUCAUGUCCCAUGAUCUAAUAGUGCUUAAAUGACAAGUCCACGCUCUAUGCUUUAUGAUUCCACGUUAUUGAUAUGUGUUGUUGUUGUGACAUGGAUUGAGCACAAUAUUGAAGUUAUGCAAGUAUAUACAUGUUGUAUGCAUUUCCUUCCCGUGUAUAAGAUGUUGAGAACUAUGCUUAGUGUGAAUUUUUUUACUUAUAAUAUUGUAAAUCGUGGACUCUACUCUUAUGAUCAAGUCAAUCAUGUGUGUCAGUUUCUUUUCAUCGAGUCCUGGGGUACUUGUACCCAAAAAUAUAGCUAUUUGUCUAGAGCCAUGUCAUGUUAUCACGAUACACUCAAUCAAGCCAUGAUCUACAGAACUCAGUCAGUCACGUCACUCAGAAAAUCUCAGAAAUCUCAUGAUCUCAGUUAAUUCUCAGAUAGUAGUACUAUCCCGUCAGUCAACAGAAGUCAGUUACUCAGUCCAUGUACAGUCAGUUAAUCAUGUUCAGUCUCUUCAGAUGGGAGUAGAAGUUAGCAUCGAGUGAACCCAAGGAUGGGAACACACAGUCAGAUGAGGGUGUGAUUCUUAGCAGUCAUCCUUGCGUUCCAGAACUAUGUAGCCAGCAUAGGUUGAUACAUCAAUACCUGUCAGUUGAGGGUAGAUGAGGUGGCUUAACCUGUCAGAUUAAGGUCUCAUCGUUCUCGUUAGAGUACCUACCAGAUGAGGGUCACUCACAGUUUGUCCUUAUCAGUGGUGCGGUAUUGACACCCUUCAAAUCAGGGCAUAGAUUGGACCCCAGCUCAGCUAUUAUAGAACAUUUGGGGCAUGUCAAUUAAACAACUACCUCCCACAGUUUCAUUCUCGGUCUCAGUGAAAGAACUCAGAUAGUUCUUCAAAUUUCAGUACCAGGACUGUCAGAUACAAUCAAUUCAGUUACAGUACGGAACUCAGACGGUUCCAUCAGAUUCAGGACUGUCAGACACAGUCAUCCAUGUUAUCAGAAUUUCAGUAUUAGUUAUGUUAGAUAUCAGUAAACCAUGUAUUAGGGUACAGAUUUAGAUAUUACUCAUUCACGAUCUCAGUUUCUAUGUAUGCAUAUUUGCACUCUCACGUUCAUUUUAGUCAGUCAGUUAGCAUUGCUCAUAUAUGUAAGCCCUUUUGCAUGUAGCCUACCUCACUCGUAUACUCAAUACUUUCAACUGUACUGAUGCAUUUGCGCUGCUUUCUUUUAUGUUACACCAUAGGUUCAGAGACACGAGUUUCGGAUCAGCAGUAGCAGUCGCAUUUCGGUAUAUAGAGUUGCAGUGAGUCCUUUUCAUUCGAGGACGAUAUGAUUUGAUUUUAUUCAUUAUUUCAAUUAGCUUUCAGGUUACGAAGUUAGUUGGAGACAUGUUCCUUCAACUCCCUACUCAGACAGUACUUAAAGGCUUUCAGAUUUUAGAUUUAACUUUCAGUUGUUUUGGGUAUUAGUUACCCCAUAUGGAUGUUAUUGUUUAUCAGAUAUUCUAGUAUUAUAUAGAAGAGGUGGUUUCGACCACCUCUUGCAAUUACCAAAAAACCAACUACUUCCACUUAAUUACAUACCAUGCCCCAAUAUAUAAUAAUUUCAUUGUUUCAUCAUAAUGGUUUAAAUAUUUAAUAUAUUCUAUUAAUUUAUAUUAAUUAACUAUAACUACAUAUUGAAAGUAAUUUUUAUUUAUUUAUUUAAUUGUCUAUCAUGUUCAAAACNNNNNNNNNNNNNNNNNNNNNNNNNNNNNNNNNNNNNNNNNNNNNNNNNNNNNNNNNNNNNNNNNNNNNNNNNNNNNNNNNNNNNNNNNNNNNNNNNNNNNNNNNNNNNNNNNNNNNNNNNNNNNNNNNNNNNNNNNNNNNNNNNNNNNNNNNNNNNNNNNNNNNNNNNNNNNNNNNNNNNNNNNNNNNNNNNNNNNNNNNNNNNNNNNNNNNNNNNNNNNNNNNNNNNNNNNNNNNNNNNNNNNNNNNNNNNNNNNNNNNNNNNNNNNNNNNNNNNNNNNNNNNNNNNNNNNNNNNNNNNNNNNNNNNNNNNNNNNNNNNNNNNNNNNNNNNNNNNNNNNNNNNNNNNNNNNNNNNNNNNNNNNNNNNNNNNNNNNNNNNNNNNNNNNNNNNNNNNNNNNNNNNNNNNNNNNNNNNNNNNNNNNNNNNNNNNNNNNNNNNNNNNNNNNNNNNNNNNNNNNNNNNNNNNNNNNNNNNNNNNNNNNNNNNNNNNNNNNNNNNNNNNNNNNNNNNNNNNNNNNNNNNNNNNNNNNNNNNNNNNNNNNNNNNNNNNNNNNNNNNNNNNNNNNNNNNNNNNNNNNNNNNNNNNNNNNNNNNNNNNNNNNNNNNNNNNNNNNNNNNNNNNNNNNNNNNNNNNNNNNNNNNNNNNNNNNNNNNNNNNNNNNNNNNNNNNNNNNNNNNNNNNNNNNNNNNNNNNNNUUAACUUUAAUUUUUAAAGUAAAAAAUUAAUAAAUUUAAUUUAAUAAAAUAAAUUUCUAAUGAAUAUUUUCUUAGAAUUUGUGUUGGAUCGAUAUGUAUCAAGUUAUAAAAAAUAUAUAUAGUAAAAUUUUAUUAUUGUGAAAGAUAAAUAUAAUGCACUAUCCAAUAUGUUUAAUAAUACCAUAUUUUGCAUAUGCAAAUAUAGCAUCCCGUAUUGAAUUAAUAUACUAUUUCGGUGAAUUAUAGAUAAUUACUAUUGGAUAUGAUAAAAUUAUAUUAAUUUUUAUAGUAAUAACAUAAUCAGUCUCUCUUAAUUAAUUAUUAUGAGUCAUCGAGGUAUUAAGAAAAUAAAUAAUAUUUUAUGAAAAAUAAAAUAGACAUAAAAUGCAAAAUUAACUCUUAAUGUUUUAAAUUAAAUUUUCGUCUUUCGAACGAUGAUUUUACUAUAUCACUCCUUAUUACAAGUCAUUUAUGUAUUAGAAAAAUAAGAAUAACAAAAUGAUAUGUCAACAUAAAAUAUUUGAUUUACUAUCAAGAUUAUAUUAGUGCCACAUAAAUUGGGACGGGACAGUAGAAGAUAUAAAGCAACAUAUAUUAUUUGAAAAUAAAAUAAAAAGUACUGUAAAUAACAAUAAUUAACAAAUCUUUUUUAAAAAAUUGACUGAUUUCUUCUUCAGGUGCUUCAAUCGUGAUUUUACUAUAUUACCCCUAAUUAAUUAUUAUGGUCAUUUAAGCAUUGUGUCACAUAAGUUGAGAUAGAAAAAAUAUUAUAAAUCACAAUGAUCAAAAAUUUAAAUUAUUUAAAAAAUAUAAUUUGCUAUUGUUGACACAAAACUCUGGAUAAGGAGAGUAACAUAUAUUAUUCAAAAAUUAUAUAAAAAGUAUUAUAAAUUACAAUUGUAAACAAUUUAAAAUAUCUAAAAAAAAAUUAAUAUGUUAUAUAUUUCAAAAAAAAUUACAAGAAAAAUACUAGAAAUCACAAUAAUCAACAACUUAAAAAAUUUAAAAGAUAUAAAAUAUUUAGUCGGCUCUUGAAAUUAUAUUAGUGCCACUGAAAUUGGAAUAGCAAAAAAGUAUUAUAAAUCACAAUAAUUAAAAAUUUAAAUUACUUUUAAAAUAUAAUUGACUAUCAAUGCCACAUAAAUUUGGACAAGAAAAGUAACGUAUAUUAAUUUAAAAAAUACAUAAAAAAACAUUAUAAAUUAAAUAGUUAACAACUUAAAUUAUCUAAAUACAUAUUAAAAUAACAUAUGUUGAAUUCGUGCUAGAUCUGGAUGAAUCCUAGAAAACAUAUGCAAUCCUUUUAUUAAAUUUUUUUAUUUAAAUAUAUGAAGAUUGAAAAGACAAAUAAAUAUCUUAAUGUUGGGCCCGUGCUGAUACGGACCAUGCUUGUCUAGUAUGUAAUAAGGAAUCCAAAUCGCCAAACGUGUUACGAGUUAUGAGUUAUGAGAUAUGUCCCUAACCCUAAGUAUUCAUUUCAAUACAAGUUUGUUGACUUGUUUCAGGCUUUCAACGGCGCCUCGAGGAGAUGAGAUGACGAGUGUCGAGUUUCCGACUGUAGUUCUAUAUUAUGUUAAAUUUAUGAUUUAUUACAUGCGUGUUGAGUUAUUUAUAUUGGGGAAUGAAAAAUAGGUUUAAAAAAUCAUUUUUCUAGAAAAAUCAUCAAUUUUAGAUGUUCAAUCAUGACAAAAAAGAAAGACUCACUACUUUAAUCUUCAAAAUCUUGAAAUAACUGAAUCAAAUUUGUAAGAAUCGAACCAAAUUGAAUUUAUUUCGGUUUGAUUACGGUUGCCAGUUUUGUCAGUUUGAAAAUUAAAAAAUUAAACCGAUAUUAAAUAACCAAAUCGAACAAAUCGAGUGCCCAUCCCUAAUACUAAUGAUGAUUAUUCUUGAUAUUUUAUUAUUCAAUUUUACACAUAAUAUAUUUCAUAUAAUAUUAUUACAUAACAUUUAAGAAUAAUUGUUAUACACAUGUAAUUUUAGAAAGAGAAUAUAUUAUAAUGAAAGUCAUAACUGUUCUACGAAAAAUAUUGUUACAGAGAAAUAAAAUAAGAAAUUAAGAUCGACAACUUAGAUUUGUUCAGAGAUUUCACUUGAACACCUCAACUCACCCCUUGUAGCUAUUGAACGCCUCCACCUCUUUGAAUUUGAACCACUCAAAUAUUUUUUCGACAAUCAGCUAAAAUAUAAUUUAACAAAUUAAAUAGUGAUACGUGUCGUAUGGAUCCAAAAAUAAUAUUCUUAAAUGUAUCAUAACAACAUAAAAAGGGAAGUUAUUUUAAAAUUAAAAAAUAAAAUCGAGCCUUAGAUUUUCUUCAUCUCAAACUGAUACUUUAAAGUUCAAUUUUUUUUUUUUAAAAAAAAAGAAAAAAAAACAACAACUUCUUUUCCAUUUUAAAUUUUCUUUAUCUGAUAGCCGCCUUCAUCUUCUUUUCUGUUCCUACUUAUAACUCAUCUUCUUUCCCGUUAUAAAUCUUCUCUCAUUUUUUUAAUUUGUUUUUCUUUUUUCUUUUUUUCUAAAUUUUAUUUUGUUCUUAAUUUUGAAUUUGAAUUAUGCUCGAAUUUGAUUUCAUAGAUAGAGAAGGAAGAAAAAUGUAUGGUGGUAGAAAUUCACCGAAACAGCUGCAAACCAUCAACUUGCUAUAUUUUUCUCCUACUACUUCUGUAGUGUUGCUUUUAAGAUUCAAAUUCUUUAACAGUUUUUUUUUUUAAAUAACUUCAAAUUAGUAUUAAUCGUACCGAAAACAAUGGUCUUCGCAUCAGAUUUUUUUGACCCAAUUUGAUAUUUCUAUUUAAUAAAUCUUUCUACAACCUUAAUAAAAAACAUUGUCAGUCAAUGUUUAGAAUUUUUUUCUAUCAAAGAACUUUGUUUAAUUAGUACUUUUUCAACGAAAAUAACGUUAUGAGAUUUUAAUUUUUGAGUUUGACGUUGAGGGAGUGAGGGAUUGGGAAAGACAGUGAGAGGAUCUUAUUUUUUAUAAAAUAUAUUUUUAUGGCUUUAUUAUUUUGUUGACAUAUCACUUUUUAAUUGGCCUUGUAAAUAAUUUUUUCUAGUUUCACGUAUGAAAUGUGUAUUACACCCAUGUCAGCAAAAGUGUUGAAUAGGUAGAAGGGUGAGUUGAAGUUUCAAGUGAAACCUCGAAACAAGUUUAGAGGUCUGUCGAUGGCUUGACUAAAAAAAAUACAAUAUUACUAAAGAAAAAAUGCAUUGUUUUUACUUUAGCCAUACAAGAAAAGUCUAAGACACAUCUAAACUAUUGGAGUAACCUAAUACAUAUCUAAAUUACUUGAAAGUGAAAUUUUUUAUCGCUAAAUCUGACGUAGAAAAAACAUAAUUAUUUAAUUAAAAAUAGGCGCGUCUAAAUUAAAAAAUAACACAAAAUAAAAGUUAAAACUGAAAAUUCAAAUUCAUCUUCUUCUUCUCCAAAUUCAAAAAUCUCCAAACUAAAACAAAGAUGUUUAGAAUUUUUUUAAGGUUUCUAAACAUCCAUCUUCUUCUUCUUCUUCUCCAAAUUCAAAAAUUCCCAACAUCCAUCUUCUUCUUCUUCUCCAAAUUCAAAAAUCCCCAAACUAAAAAUUCCAAUUUCAAUUUCAAGUUGCUAAUGAGUUUCAAACGAUUAACAAUGGGUGAAAUUCCUCCUUUUUCUUCUUCCCCCAAUUCAAUUCAACCAUCGAAUCUAAUUAUUGACCCCGUCGGAGCUGCAAAUGCAUACAAAUCAGUAGGCUUCUCUAAGGAGAAAUUUGGGUUUUUGUUGGUGAAGUUUUUCAUAAUGAAGCUUUCCAUUAAACAGUUUGGGGAUUGAGGUUGUUGUUGGUGUUUUGAUGGUUUUAGUUUUGGGGGAAAUUAUAGUAACUGAGGUAGUGAGGUUUUGUAUUGUGUGGGUAGUGUGUAGAGUUUAGGUGUGCGCGGCGGUGUAUCAAGCAAUCACUACCGGAGCUGCAUCGCCGGCGAUGAAUUUGACGCAAUUUCAGUGCCACACCUUGUCUGCUAAACAAGGUAAAUAUCAAGUUAGAAAAAAAAAAAGGAUAAAACUUUUCUGCACAUAUAAUUGGAUUCCACUGUGUAGAAAAGUGUAUUUAUAAUUGAACAUUGAAGAAAAAGAAAAAAAAAUUGAGCUCAUAACAAUAGAGGUUUUGGACAACAAUGAAGGUUUUGGAUAUUGUAGAAAAAAAGAUUUGAACUCAUAACAAUGGAAGUUUUGGACAACAAUGAAGGUUUUGGAUAUUGUAGAAAAAAAGAUUUGAACUCAUAACAAUGGAAGUUUUGGACAACAAUGGAGGUUUUGGAUAUUGAAGAAGAAAGAAAAAAAAUUUAAAUUUAAAAGAUUUUUUUUUUAUGAAAAUAAUAAAUUUAUUAUUUUUUUCGUAUCAUACUGACGUGACAGGCGCGUGAGCAAUACCACACCACAUGCAAGUGGUAUAAUGCUUUACAGGAUAUAAAAAGUUUCACUUUUAUAUAGUUAAGGUGUGUAAUAGGUCACUUGUAUAGUUUAGGUGUGGAUUCGACUUUUCUUGUAUAGUUUGGGGUGGAAAUAAUGCUUUUUCCCAAGAUCAUAGUGUUGGGUUUAUAGUAUAUGAAAGAAGUGUGAAUGAAAAAAUGGAGAGUAAAAUAGUGGAGGGAAGGAGACAGUAAAGUUGAAAGUGUACUCCCAAAUUAUAAAGUUUACUCUUUCACCCACAUUGGUGGAAGAAUAGAACUUGGAAGUCUUUAUAAUCACGAACACUUACUCCACAUGGUAAGUGAGGCAAGAAAUAAGAGAUGUCUCGCGCCGUCGUCGUCGUUGUUCGCUCGGCUUUGGAUUUGGAUUUGGAUUUGAAUUUGUCAAUCGAUCGAUGAGAUCUAUCUUUUUGGACAAAAUCUAUUUGAGAUUCGAACAUACCAAAGAAAAAAAAUGCAGGAAAAAUUUCCUGAUACUCCAUUUAUAUAAUAUGCAUGCAAUAACAGUUGCAAUGUUUCGAACAGAACUAAUGCUUCAGUUGUUUCAAGUGAACUGAUGCACUGCUUCAUGAACUGAUGCAUGCUUCAGAAGGAUGCAAUCCUUCAAUGAAGUAACACACUGUUUCACAAAAUGAGAUGACUGUUCAGGAAAAGAUACACUCUUUGAUGAACAAAUAUGAAUUUUCAGAAAGAGGUGCAACCUUUUAAAUUGAACCAUUGCCUCUUUUCGGAAGAGGCAUGUUGUGGCUAUAUAAACCUGUUUUUAUUCACAGGUUUAGAUACGAAAAUUACAGAAUAAAAACACUCUUCUUGCCUUAAAAAUAUUAUGUGUGAUCACUCAAAACGGUCAGUGAGUUCGAAGAUAUUCCAAUUGUUUGAGGUACCGCUACAGUUGGUUUGUUUGGCCAUUUUAUCCUGGGAGAAAAAUUCUCCAACCUCGGGUACAGUGAGGAAAAUUAUUUCCUUAAGAAAAAUUCGUGAAUUCGGGCAACUUGUCCAUUUCUAUUUCAUCCACCUCUUAUAAAGAUCACUUUGAUCUUGGGUUGAGGGUAUUUUCUGUACUUCAUUGUGUUCUUGUUCUUAAACUUGAACUAGUUGAAGUGGUUGUUUCUAGUAUACAGAUUCUUGUACCCGUAGAAGGAAGAAUAACAAUCUUAAGGAAAUAAUUCAGAAUCGGUAUUACUUGUUUUUGGAGAUUAAAGCUUAAGUUUUCUACUCUGUUUGAGUUUAACUAAUGACUAGGAGACAUAAAAUCUUCAUCACAAGUUUAAAAUUCAAUCGGUUGACAAUUGGAAGUCAUAAAAAUUUCGUUGUUAACUAGAAAUAAGAAGAAAAGUUUGAAAUUUUAUUUAACUUUAUAAUUAGUAUUCUGAAAAAUACUAAAUAUUAUUGUCUUGUGGUGACAAAAAAAAUGACUAACGAAAGUCAAAUGCAAGAUGCGGCUACGACUGUGGGGGUAACUAGUAUUGCCUCAACAAGUCGAGCAAAUGCUUCGCAACCUAUGGCACCUGCGGAGAAGCUCAAAAAAUUUGCGGGCAUUAACUUUAAGCGAUGGCGGCAGAAGAUGUUUCUCUACCUCACAACACUAUGCCUUCAAAAGUUCACUUGUGAGGAUGCUCCUGAGGUGCCCGAAGGAACCUCGGACAAAGAGCAUUUCAUGAUUGUAGAAGUUUGGAAGCACUCGGACUUCUUUUGCAGGAAUUAUAUAUUGAGUGGUCUCCAAGACGACCUCUACAAUGUUUACAGUGGAACUAAGACAUCGAAGGAAUUGUGGGGGGCACUAGAACGAAAAUACAAGACAGAGGAUGUGGGAAUUAAGAAAUUCUUUGUUGCAAGGUUCCUGGACUACAAAAUGAUAGAUAGCAAAUCGGUUGUCUCUCAAGUGCAAGAAUUGCAAGUAAUCAUCCACGAUCUCCUAGCAAAAGGUAUAUCUUUGAAAAAUACCUUAGCUGAACAACUUGAAAAAGUUCUUAAUACUCACAUAAACUGUUUUGUAGGUUAAACUGUGAAUGAUGCUUUCCAAGUAGCAGUGAUAAUUGAGAAGCUACCACCAAUGUGGAAAGACUUUAAAAACUACUUGAAGCAUAAACGCAAGAAGAUGACUGUCGAAGAUCUUAUUGUCCGACUGCGUAUUAAAGAGGAUAAUAAAGCUGCCGAGAGAAGGUCAAAAAGAAAUUCUGCAAUUAAUGGAGCACAUAUUGUAGAAGAUGACCCAAAUAAUUCUAAGAAAAGAAAGAAAGCUAUCAACCCAAGAAGAAAUUCAAGGGAAAAUGCUUCAAUUAUGGCAAGAUUGGCCACAAGUCCACGGAUUAUCGUGCCCCAAAGAAAGGCAAGAAAAAGGAUCAAGCAAAUAUGAUUGAAUCCAACAAAUAAUACGUUGAUCUGUGUGCUAUGUUCUCAGAAUGCAACUUGGUGGGGAAUUCUUGCGAAUGGUGAAUGGAUUCUGGUGUCACCCGCCAUGUAUGUGCCAAUAAAGAGUUGUUUUCGUCAUUCGCUCCCGCUCAAGUAGAAGAAAUGAUCUACAUGGCUAACUCCGCUACUGUUAAGGUAGAAGGAACAAGAAAAAUAUGCUUGAAAAUGACUUCAGGAAAGGUCUUGACACUUAACAAUGUCUUGUAUGUUCCGGAGUUACGUAGGAAUUUAAUUUUUGUUUCACUUCUAGACAAGAACGGAUUCAAAUGUGUAACCGUUUAUGGAAAAAUUGUAAUUAGCAAAGAAAAAAUGUAUGUAGGAAAAGACUAUCUUACCGAGGGCCUUUAUAAGAUGAAUGUAAUGAAUGUUAAAAUAAAUAAAAGCUCAAAUUCUUCUUAUUUGCUUGAGUCUUAUGAUUUAUGGCAUAAACGUUUAGGCCAUGUUAAUUACAAAACGUUACGAAAACUGAUUAACUUAGAAGUUUUGCCAAACUUUGAGUGCAAUAAAUCAAAGUUUUAAACGUGUGUAGAAACAAAGUAUGCAGAGCAUCCUUAUAAGUCCGUUGAAAGGAAUUCCAAUCCUUUAGACUUAGUACACACUGACAUUUGUGAUAUGAAGUCAACACCAUCACGUGGUGGAAAAAAAUAUUUCAUAACUUUUAUUGACGAUUGCACUAGAUAUUGUUAUGUCUAUUUGCUAAAUAGUAAGAAUGAAGCAAUAGAUGCGUUUAGGCAAUAUAAAACUGAAGUUGAAAAUCAGUUAGAUAAAAAGAUAAAAAUAAUAAGAAGUGAUAGGGGCGGAGAAUAUGAAUCUCCUUUCGCCAAAAUAUGUGUAGAGAAUGGAAUUGUCCAUCAAACUACGGCCCCGUAUUCACCUCAAUCUAACGGAAUUGCAGAAAGAAAAAAACAAACUUUGAAGAAAAUAAUGAAUGUCUUGCUUAUAAGUUCCGGUUUACUACAAAACUUAUGGGGGAGGCUAUCCUUACAGCCAAUCGUAUACUCAACAGAGUUCUCCAUAGUAAGAAACAAUCAAUUUCUUAUGAAAAAUGAAAAGAAAGGAAACAAACCUUGAAAUAUUUCAAAGUGUGGGAGUGUCUAACAAAGGUCAAAAUUUCUAUGCCUAAAAGGGUUAAGAUAGGACCUAAGAAUGUGGACUGCGUGUUCAUAGGAUAUGCUAAAAGUAGUAAAGCAUAUCAAUUUUUGGUUCAUAAAUCCAAACAUCCGGAUAUUAAUGAAAAUACAAUAAUUGAAUCAGACAAUGUUGAAUUAUUUGAAAACAUUUACCCAUAUAAAAUUAGACAUGAACAGUCUAGUGGAAGAUCUAAACGACCUCGAGAUAAACCAAGUGAGAAUGUACAUAAUAAAGAAAAUCCAAGACGUAGUACACGACAAAGAACGUUUACUUCAUUUGGAUCGGAUUUUGUAACAUUUCUCUUAGAAAAUGAGCCUCAAACAUUUAAGGAAGCGAUGACAUCCUUGGACUCAUCCUUUUGGAAAGAGACAGUCAAUAGUGAGAUCGAUUUAAUCUUAAGCAACCAUACAUGGGAAUUGGUUGAUCUUCCUUCCGAAAAUAAAUCUUUAGGUUCCAAAUGGAUCUUUAAAAGAAAGAUGAGAGCGGAUGGUAAUAUUGACAAAUACAAGGCAAGACUUGUAGUAAAAGGCUUCAAACAAAAAGAAGGCCUUGAUUACUUCGAUACAUACUCGCCAGUAACAAGGAUAACAUUGAUUCAAAUAUUAAUUGCCUUGGCUGCGGUAUAUGAUCUUUAAAUCCAUCAAAUGGAUGUGAAAACUGCAUUCCUAAAUGGAGAAUUUGAGGGAGAAAUUUACUUGAAACAGUCUGAGGGUUUUGUGGUUUCAGGAAAAGAGUUGUGUAGACUUAUUAAGUCAUUGUAUGGACUAAAGCAAGCACCUAAAUAAUGGCAUGCGAAGUUUGACCAAACCAUGUUGGCAAAUGAGUUCAUGAUAAAUGAAUAUGAUAAAUAUGUUUAUGUUAAAGAUACUCCAAAUCACCAAGUCAUUGUUUGUUUAUAUGUGGAUGAUAUGUUGAUCAUCAACAGAGACAUUUCUGACAUAAAUGCAACCAAAUGAAUGCUCGAGAGAAAGUUUGAUAUGAAAGACCUUGGAGUUGCAGAUGUGAUCUUAGGUAUAAGAAUCCAUCGAACUCCACAAGGGUUGGCACUGUCACAGUCUCAUUAUAUCAAAAAUGUACUUGACAAGUUCAAGUAUAUGGAAUUCGGUAUUUCCAAGACUCCAUUAGAUGUGAGCUUUGUACUUCGAAAGAAUGAAGGUGAAAGUGAAUCACAACUGGAGUACACAAGAGUAUUGGGACGUUUAAUGUAUAUAAUGAAUUGUACACGACCAGAUAUAGCAUGCGCUAUUAGUAAAUUGAGUCGGUACACGAGUAAUCCCAACAAAACUCAUUGGAUGGCAAUGAAAAGAGUUUUGGGGUAUCUUAAAUACACUCAAGACUAUGUCUUGCAUUAUAAUAAAUAUCCUGCAGUACUUGAAGGAUAUAAUGAUGCAAAUUGGAUCACCGGAUCGAACGAAGUAAAAUCCACAAGUGGAUAUGUAUUUACUAUCGGUGGAGGAGCAGUCUCUUGAAAAUUAUCCAAACAGACUUGUAUUGCUCGCUCUACAAUGAAAACUGAAUUUAUCGCAUUAGAUGAAGCCGGUGAAGAAGCAGAAUGACUUCAAAAUUUCUUAGAAGAUAUUCCGUAUUGGCCCAAGCCAGUGGCACCAGUAUGUAUACACUGUGAUAGCCAAGCGGCAAUAGGUAGGGCAGGGAGCAUGAUGUACAACAGUAAAUGUCAUCACAUGCGACGGAGAUAUAAUACUAUUAGGAACUUCUCUCUAAUGGAAUUAUCACUGUUGACUACGUAAAGUCAAAGGAUAAUGUGUUGGAUCCACUUACAAAAGGCCCAUCUAGAGAAGAAGUGGAAAGGACAUCCAAGAGAAUGAGUUUAAGACCUAGGACAAGUCAGCAUGACGGUAACUCUACCUAGCAAACUGGAGAUCCCAAGAGUUAGGUUCAAGGAGAUCAAACAAAGUUGUGUCUAGCAGGUUCAACAUUGUCAGUUACCCAACCCAUUCUCAUGAUGUAGACAAUGUAUAUUAAACUAGGAUAAGACUUAAGGUGAAAAGUCUUUUAAUGAUUAUAUAAAUUUGACAGAUUUGACCAAUAGUUUAAUCUAUAGGAUUGGACAUUUAAAAAUCACCUAUGUGAGGGCGAAGUGGAAACCGCUUCAAGGAGAAUGUUAGCAGAGGCCUAUUCUCUAAGCUCUCAUGAAAUCGGGACGUGUUCAUGACUGAAAAUAACAAAACAGUGAGAACCAUAAACGUUAAAAGGCUGGUUGUGUGACAUGUAUUGUCUAGGUGUACAUUAAAGCUCGCCGGUUCAAAGAUAUCAAAUCUACCGAUUGACCGAGUGCAUCCGAUGCAUGUUCACUACGGAAAGUUCAAAGGGAAACCCACUCAUCCAGAUGCAAUCAGUCUUUGCUUGAUGAUCACAUAUUUGUCCGUAAAACUUUUACAAAAAAUAGUCAUUCCCCAUUCAUGUGGGGGAUUGUUGGGUUUAUAGUAUAUGAAAGAAGUGUGAAUGGAAAAAUAGAGAGUAAAAUAGUGUAGGAAAGGAGACACUAAAAUGAAAAGUGUACUCCUAAAUUAGAAAGUUUACUCUUUCUCCCACAUUGGUGGAAGAAGGGAACUUGGAAGUGUUUAUAAUCAAGAACACUUACUCCACAUGGUAAGUGAGGCAAGAAAUAAGAGAUGCUUCGCGGCGUCGGCGUCGUCGCUCGCUCGGCUCGGCUUCGGAUUUGGAUUUGUCAAUCAAUCGAUGAAAUCUAUCUUUUUGGACAAAAUUUAUUUGAGAUUCGAACAUACCAAAGGAAAAAGACGCGCGAAAAUUUUUUUGAUACUCCAUUUAUAUAAUAUGCAUGCAGUAACAGUUGCAAUGUUUCAAACAGAACUGAUGCUUCAGUUGCACUGUUUCAAGUGAACUGAUGCACUGCUUCAUGAACUGAUGCAUGCUUCAGAAGGAUGCAAUCCUUCAACGAAGUAACACACUGUUUCAUGAAAUGAGAUGACUAUUCAGGAAAAGAUGCACUCUUUGAUUCGGGUACAGUGAGGGGAAUUAUUUCCUUAAGAAAAAUACGUGAAUUCGGGCGACUUGACCAUUUAUGUUUCAUCCUUAUUUCUGGAAAUAAAAUACACCUAUUAUAAAGAUCACUUUGAUCUUGGGUUGAGGAUAUUUUUUGUACUUCAUUGUGCUCUUGUUCUUAAACUUGAACUAGUUGAAGUGGUUGUUUCUAGUAUACAUAUUCUUGUACCCGUAGAAGGUAUUAUAACACAUAGUUCAUAAAAAAGAUUUUAAUCAUCCCAUGGCACCACAUUGAUAAAUCACACAUCUCAUAUUUCUUUUUAUAAAUAAUAUUUGUUAUUAAAAAUUACAUGAUCAGACCCUUCUUCGAAUUGUACAUAUAUUGAAAGCUUUAAUACACUAGCUUUGUCUUAUAAACUUUCAAAUAAACACAAACUCAUACAGUGGUACAUAGUUAAUCAUUAAAAUAAAUGUUUUAUUCAUUGAAAUAAUCUUUUCACAUAAUACACAACCUCUUUAUGUCAAAUAUGAUUCUUUUUUCAUAAAAUAUAAACUUAUCAAGUUUUUCAUUUAAAAUGAAUUUGAAACUAUGACUCGGAUCAAAUCAUAUUUUGUGGAGAAUUUAAGAUUCCAAUUUCAUAAUUUAUUAUCAUGAUUUUCAAUGGCAUAUCUAAAUGCAAAAGUAUUUCUUAUUUUGUUGAAUUCUGUGCGAUCGAGGUUAUAGAGAAUGCUGGUUGUCGUGGUAAAAGAAAAAACAAAACAAAACUGAGGAACAUGUGAGCAAAGCAUCCCUUAGAAGGUAAAGUGUGGGAUAAACGUUGAAGCGAAGAGCAAAGAGAGAUGAGGUUUAGCAGAGGGAAGCAAGACGGUUAUUAUCAUUACCGCCACUACUCUUUGCCGUUGUUGUUCACGCUCGCGCUCGCGCUCGCAAUCCCAGCUACGGCCGCAGAAGAUGCGUCUACAAUCCUAUCAAGAUUCCAGCAGUACCUUCAGAUAAAUACAGCCCAACCUCACCCGAACUACUAUGAAGCCGCCCAAUUUAUAACCUCACAGGCCAACUCACUAUCCCUCCAUUCCCAGACCCUGGAGUUUGUCGAGGGAAAGCCCCUCAUUCUCAUCAAAUGGCAAGGCAAGGACCCAACCCUCCCUUCCAUCCUCCUCAACUCACAUACAGAUGUUGUCCCUUCCGAGCAUCACAAGUGGACUCACCCGCCUUUCUCCGCUCACUUAGAUUCCACCACCGGCAACAUCUUUGCCCGAGGUUCUCAGGAUAUGAAGUGCGUCGGGUUGCAGUACCUCGAGGCCAUUCGCAAGCUCAAGGAUUCCGGCUUCCGCCCCCUCCGCACCGUCUACCUCUCCUUUGUCCCCGAUGAGGAGAUCGGUGGUGCUGAUGGCGUUGCAAAGUUUGUUGAUUCCGAUGCCUUUGCCGAUAUGAAUGUUGGGAUUGUACUCGACGAAGGUUUGGCUUCUCCCGCUGACCACUAUCGUGCAUUCUAUGGAGAGAGGUCCCCCUGGUGGCUGGUCGUUAAAGCUGUAGGUGCUCCUGGACAUGGCUCUAAGCUCUAUGAUAAUACUGCCAUGGAGAAUCUACUUAAAAGCAUCGAAUCUAUAAGGAGAUUUAGGGCUGCGCAGUUCGAUCUCGUUAAGGCCGGAUUGAAAGCUCAAGGCGAGGUCAUUUCUGUCAAUAUGGUCUUCUUGAAAGCUGGCACUCCUUCUCCCUCUGUAAGUCAGCCCGACUGUCUGAUUCGAGAUUCUGACCGUUAUUGUACUGUUGUUGCAAGGCUGUUUGAAUAUUGCACUUCACUUCGUGAUAUUGUAGCACUUUCUGUACUGUUCCUCUUCUGAGGAACUCAAAGGAGUCUUUGGAUCCCUUUUUCCUACACUCGAGAAUUAAUAUUGAGAUGAGUUUAAGAUAUGGACUUCUUUGUUUCUGUGGCAGGGUUUUGUCAUGAACAUGCAGCCAUCUGAAGCCCAAGCAGGAUUUGACAUCAGAGUACCCCCAACUGCAGAUCCGGCAUCCUUGGAGAGGCGAAUAGCUGAUGAAUGGGCACCUGCUUCGCGUAACAUGACUUUUGAGGUAUUAGGAAAAAUAAUAAUCCUCACGUCUACUUUUAAGAGAUAAACAACCUGCAAUGCGGUGGCUGCCUCCUGUUUGCUAUAUCUUAGUCCUUUUCUAAAGAGGAAACGCCCUAUAACAAUUUAUGUUUAACUGUUUUCUUUUUGUUGGCUGCGGAGGGUGGAUACACCAAAGAAAAGUGUCUCAUGCCUUUCUUUAGGUGUUUGCACCUUGUGGUUGAUGUUACGGUUCCUUGCAUAUAUGCUCCGCACUGCUUUCCUGUUAGCUGUCUUGUUUUUCUUUAAUGUCGUUUUUCCUUUCCAUUACUACUUUGAUUUGCUUCACUCGAGACGAGGGUCUUUCAGAAACAACCUCUUUACUUCCAAAAGGUAGAAGUAAGGUCUGCGUACGUUCUAUCCUCUCCAAACUCCACUAUGUGGGAUAUCACUAGGUAUGUUGUUAUUGUUUCAAUUACACAUGAAGUAGCCUAUUGCAGCAGUUUAUCUGAAGCCUUGCUCGAGUCUAUCUUCCGAGCUGCUAUAGUUAGUUUAUGAAAGUAGAAAAGUCUAAUCUAGGAUUGCUAGAGUUUCUUCGUUCCCAGCUUCUUCUCAUCCUUUCCCUUUUCUCGGUCUUUUAAUCUGUCUUGUUUUGCAUCAGGUAAGGGAAGCAUCGCUGCACUAUGUUUUACCCCCCAACAAAAGAUAAGAAAAUUUGCAACAUCAGUUUUUUUGGAAGACAAAUUCAUGAGCUCAAUCUUAAUAGAGAGAUGCAAAUAGUUAUCGGAGUCUCUGAGAAAUGCAAUAUCCUGUUGGGAUCUUUGAAUAUCCUAGCUUUAGGGAGAGUGUGUGAGUAACAUGACAUAGCUUUUUGUUUUGUUGUCUCUAGUUUAAACACGUGUUUGCAUUUGAGGGACCUCUUGUCUGAAAUUCUUAAAGCUAGCCAAUGUGAAAGGACCAUACCAUCUCUGCCUCUUCUAAUUAUUGUAAAUGGAUGGCAAAUACCUUGCUACCAUGAAUCCACAUCCUCAACCACCCCAACCUUCUGAAUUCUGUAGGUGAACCCUUGAUCCAAAACAAAAAUAAAAAUAAUAGUUCCCAAAAUAUCUUAAGUUAUACUACUUGAUAGAAUUCCUCGCUGAUUAUUGUUGGACUUUGUAAAUUCCUCACUGGUUAUUGUUGAAUUUGUAAAAAGGUCUAUUUGAACAAUAGUUAAAAGUGCAGUAUGCUAAUUUAAGAGUGGCAAUGCCCUUGCUCUUGACAGUUCAAGCACAAGGUGUCUGUGAACGACAAGUUUGGAAGGCCAGCUGUUACAGCUGUUGACAGUUCCAAUAUUUGGUGGGCACUUCUUGAAGAAGCUAUCAUCAAAGCUAAUGCCAGACUUGGAAAACCAGAAAUAUUUCCUGCAUCAACAGAUUCACGCCAUUUUCGGGAGCGAGGCCUGCCAGCAAUUGGAUUUUCUCCGAUGGCAAACACUCCCAUUCUUCUUCACGACCACAAUGAGGUGAGCAUUACAUAAUAUUGCUUGCUUGGUGGCACAUGGUAGUUUUGUCUGUGCAUAAAUGCACAUAUAGUUUUCCUUUCCCAACCUCUUAAGUAUACUCUUAAUAUGAGAAUGCCAAAAGAAGAAGUUAGAACUCCAAAAAAAAAAAAAAAAGGAAGCAGAACAUAAUGAAAUAGCCAUCUAUGGUCACUGUUUAACAAAUCAACUGUUUGGUGCGUAGAAGCAAAACAUUUACAGGAGGCUAGAUUCUUGCACGACCGUAGAAAUGGUGUAAAUAUGACUGGACUUGGAAAUUUUGUUCACUUGUUUAAAUAGUUUAUUUUAUGUGGUGGAAAUCCUGAAUUUGGCCUACGGGGUUAAUAUACAUUCUCUUUUGCUGCAGUUCUUGAACAAGGAUGAGUAUUUGAAAGGUAUUGAUGUUUAUGAGUCCAUAAUCAAAACAUAUGCAUCUUAUAUUCAGCAUCCAAGAGACGAUGCUUCGAGAGAAGAAUUGUGAGCAGGUUCUAUUGCUUGUAAAUUGUAAUGUUAUGUCGGCGAAGGCCAUAGAGCAGUUGACAUCUUUCUGCUGUAGGAAUAAACAAAAUGGAUUAUGUAAAAACUCUUUCAUGGGUUGUUUCCAAUAUUUACUUUACCAAAUGGAGUUUCUCCGGCUAUAUAGGAAAUAAAAUGUUGCAACAGGCAAACGAAAUGUCAAAGCUCCGCCUUGGCUUGGAAAUGAAUGAAAAGAGAAAAAGAGGAAAUAAAAGAACGGUAGCGGGUAGAUUGAUACUAUUUAAAUUGACAUUGAGAGAUGCAGCUAUUGAAGUCUUUAGUUUGCAAUCAGCCAGAAGUGUCAAAUGAGUUGAAGGGUUGAUUCCUAAAGGAAUUGAAUAUUUAAAAUUGGGGUGGAUCAUUUGAUUAUGGGCUCGUCAUGUUUUCUCUGCUAAAAGUUAGACUAAAUCUGUAUCUAAAGUAUAAUGAAAGAAUAUAUCUUAGACUGAAAAUAUAAUGGGAAGUAUAUACAUAUAUCAAAACUCAUAUGAGGGGAUAUAUUUGACUUUUUAUUGGGGUGGGGGAUUUGAUGAAAUAGUAAAAAAUUUAACUUCUUUUUAUACCUCUUGUGAUGUCUGACAAAGAUUAAAAAUGCUUUUAAAUAUUGAAUUUUAGAUCAAAAAAGUUACUUCUUUCUGAUUAUUUCAAAAUUAGAGAUUGUAUAUGAAUUCUAUCAAUUCUUGAAUAAAAUGUUUUGAGCGAAUUAUUUCUUUCAACUUCAAAGUUAUACAUGUCAUAAUCUAAUUUAAAUUUUAAAAUGCAAUUUUUGUACAAUAAAUUUAAAUUUUAGUCAAUGAUAACUAGUAUUCGAAAAAAAAAAAAUCGUUUUUCAUUUUUGUAUAUACGAAAUAGUCAUUGUAUAAAGUACGUAUUUGAUAAUUAAUUUUAUUUUACUUUUUCUAGUGUUCUGAAAAUUGACAAUGGGAAGCAUCCUGUUCUUGUUAAACACUUUGCUAGAUGGACAUAUGAACAACAAUAUGAAGAUUACAUUAGUGGUGCGAUAUUAUUAAGCAUGGAUGUUCCAUAUAACAAACUCUACACCCUACUGGCUUCUCACAUUGAUUGACCUGCAAAAAUGUUUAAUAUACUUAUGCAGUCUAUUUAUGUGUUCAUUGUCUGUUUCAUAUGUUUUCAGCUAUAUGUAUUUAUAUUAUACAUAUGCAGUAUGUUUAUGAAAUCACCUGCAGUUACAUAUGUGUCAAGCUAUAUGUAUUUAUAAUGUACAUGUGCAGUUUUUUUUUGUGUUCGCUGGGAGUUAGAUAUGGUUCCAGCUAUAUGUAUAUAUAUUGUAGCUAUGCAUUAUAUUUUUGUUCACUGGCAGUUACAUAUGUUUCCAGCUGUAUGUAUUUAUAAUAUACAUCUGCAGUACAUUUAUGUGUUCACUGACAGUUUCAUAUAUUUUCAGCUGUAUGUAUUUAUAAUAUACAUAUGCAGUACUUUAUGUGUAAAAAUCAUGUAUUCUUAUAUGUAUUUUUUUAAUAUGCAGGACAUAUAUUUUCUUUGUCAUAUGGUGUACUUGAUUCUGAAAAUGAUGCAUGUUGAAGCUGUUUUUUGAGAAUCUGAAAGAAGCAUACGGUGAAAGAAAACAUAUGUGUGUAGUUUCUGAUUGUAAUGCAAGCAUCAUAAAAAUUGGUGGCGGUGUGUACAAUGAUGUACCACAUUAUGCAUGUAUGUAGCAUCUACGGAAAAAUAUACAAUAAUAUUGUUAUGGUUAAAUAUUGCAGUUACAGUUUAAAUGUUGAUCUGUUCAUGAUGUAGCAUUGUGUCAAAAAACAAUUGCUUUAUUUUUUCACUGAUAAUUAUAUGAUUCUAAAUUUUGAUAAAAAUAUUUGAUGUUAUUGAACUUGUUAUAGUUGAAUUGUUGUAAUUUUUUUUUUUACUGAACUUGCUUAACUUAAUUCAUUAUGAAUAUAUUAUACAAGACAUAUAACAUGAUUAAUUUAUACCUAAGAAACUGGAAGCAACACUUACUAGAUUUUGAAUCUGAAAAAAUACAUAUGAGAAUCUAUUAAGUUCCUGUGUCCAUCUAUAAAAACUAAGAAUAAGUUAACAAAAUUUUAUGUAAUAAAUAAAAAAAUAUUAAAAAUACAUAUGAAGACAUAUCAAUUAUGUAAUCAAAACAUUAAAUACAUAUAUUUUUUUUAAAAAAAUAUAUGCAUUAAUCAUACAUAAAUAUGCAUUAUUCAUAGAUAUAUACACAUAAUUAAAAAAAAGUUAUGAAUAACUCAUAAAUACAUAUGAAUAUCUGCUUAAAUACAUAUGUAUAAAACUGGAUAAAUACAUAUAUAUAUGCAUAGUCAAAAAAUACAAAUCUAGACAAAUAUAUAUAUAUCCAUAGCAGAAAAUACAGGGAAAAGGCAUCGUUUCCACCCCAAACUAUACCCGAAAAGUCGAAGCCACACAAACUAUACUAGUGACCUAUUACACACCUAAACUAUAAAAAAGUGAAACUAUUUUCACCCUGUCAGGCUACCACCACUUGCAUGUGGUGUAGUGUUUUACACGCGCUGCCACGUCAAUAGCACGUCAGUAAAAAAUAUCACUUUUUCAUAGUUAAGGUGUGUAAUAGGUCACUUAUAUAGUUUAGGUGUGGAUUCGAAUUUUCGACUAUAGUUUGGGGUGGAAACGAUGACUUUUCCCUUAAUGUUUUAGCCGUUUACUUUUGUUAUUUAAUAGGUUGGACGCGCCUAAAAUAAGUGUAACACACACGCCUUAGAAUGGGGAUUACGGGGAGGUAAUAAUAUCACUUUUUUAUAGUUAAGGUGUGUAAUAGGUCACAAGUAUAGUUUAGGUGUGGCUUAGACUUUUCGGGUAUAGUUUAGGGUGGAAACAAUGCCUUUUUAAGAAUUGUAAAAAACAUAUGCAAUAUUCAUAUAUACAUAUGCAUUAUGCAUAAAUACAUAUGCAUCUGGAAAGAAAAACAUGCAUUACUUAAAACACUCAUGCAUAAAAUGGAAAAUACAAAUGCAUAUAUGAAAAAUACAUGUAGUAACUGAAAUAUAUAUAUAUUAAUUACUCAAAAAUAUAUUCAAAACUGAAAACCACAUAUUCAUACCGACAUAUGCAUAACAGUAACAUAAACUAACCAGGAAAAAUUCUAUUUUAUAGUUUUAACAUCAAAAAUCUAAAUAUCACAUCAAAUAAACGUUAACAUAUUGACUUUCAACAUUAAAGUAACAUAUGAAAUCUAAGAAAUAUUCAACUAAAUGUUAGUACACCUGAAGUUAACUGUUGUCAAAUACAACAAAUUUAAAAUAAACAUCAAAUAUCAUGCACUUCAGUAUCUUUUGUUAUUUCAAUUUUCAUAGGAGGCCUCAUUGGUGCUUCAUCAUCACUUUGUUUCUUCUCUUCUUCUUUCCUCGAACCAUAAUGCCACAACAUUGGAGCAUAUCUCGUGCGAAGAAGAUCUAAAUCAAAAUCAACAUUUGAAACACAUUCACCAAAAGUAAGGCACUGUGCAUAUGUCAUCAUAUAUAAACCACAAUACCUGCAAAUACAAAUAUAUAUCUAUACUGUAACAAAUACAUCUUAUAUAAUUCCUAAAAUACAAAUACAUAUCUUAAAUUUAACAGAUACAUAUCUUCACAUUAUAAAGACAAAAAUACAUAUAUAAACAUAUUGUCCAUAAAAUAUAAGAUUACAAAUAAAAAAUACAUAUCUAUACCGAAACAAAUAUAAAUCUUACAAUAUCAAAUACAAAUACAUAUCUACACUGUAACAAAUACAAAUCUUAUCGUUACCAAAUACAAAUACACUAUAAAAAUUACAUUUUACAGCAAUCUCGUCAGAAUAUAUCAAUCCGCCGCUACCACAUCAUCAAAAAUUUCAUAAAAACGAUGGCCAAGUUCGUUUUUCACCGGAUCUGCAAAAUCAACAAAUCACCGACUAAAAUUCAACUCUUGUGAUCGAUUCCGGCUAAUACUCGUCGGUAAAAUAUCAUUGUAUUCAUUGCCGGUCACUAUCACGGUGAAAUCGCCGGAUAGAACCUCCCUACGUCGAAAAUUCAUCGGGAAACGCCAAAAUUGAUGGAUUCAAUUGAAUCCACCAGCCCAUCCAUCGCUAAAAACAACAUCCCUUGACUGUAAAAACACAAAAAAAAUCACAAAACAUCAAAACAAAAAAAAUGAAGAAGAAAGCAAUACGAAAAAAUUAAAAAAAUAUAAAUUAUAUGAAAAGAUAGAUACAAAUACUAUGGAGGACAAUGUUUAUCAACAGAUUGAGAGAUAAAAGUGGAAAUAAAAAAAAAAUAGAUUCUCCACAGCUACUCAACAAAAUCUGUCAUCUUUUAAUAUUUCUUCACAUAAUUCUACAAUAUGAAAAUUCAAUAUGUAUCAAAAACCACAAAUAUCAUGUUAUAAGCUACGAUGCUCGAACUCUUAAAAAAUAUGGUCACACCCUUAUCGAAUUCUCUAAAAUGCCCUAUUUUUUUGAAAAGUUGGAAGCAAUAUAGAUUAUAACUCAAUGGCAUUUAAGACUCUAUGCAUUCCACUAGUGUCUAAAUUACGAAACUAUUAUUAUUAAUGUUUGCAAAGGAAGUUAGAAAAUGAACCCUUUCCUUUUCCAUUUGUUAUGCGGGGGUAAAGAAAUGGGAAUAGUAUUGGUGUGUAGAUAGAGAGAGAAUGGAGAGGUCCGGGGAAUUGGUGGGUUUUCCGUUGUUGAUGACGUGGAGUUCUCGUUACAAGGCGUGUACGAUUCCUUACAGGCUGCCUUCCGACGAUCCCACAAAGGCAACGGACACUGAGCUUUCCUGGAUCCACGUCUUCAUGAAUUCCAUCCCUUCUUUUACGAAGAGGGCCGAGACCGAUCACACUCUUCCAGAUGCUCCUUCUCGAGCACAAAUCUUUGCUCACAGGUAGGUAAACCCUCCCUCUUUCCUCUAUUCAUUAACAUUGUUCGUUUUUAUAAUUAUAUUUUGAUAGGUACACUGAAAUACUCGAGGAUUUGAAGAAAGAUCCUAAAACUCACGGAGGCCCUCCUGAUGGCAUUGUAACUCUGACCGACCAUCUUUAUAUAAUGCUCACAUACAUGCAUCCGUCAUUUCUCCCUCCUUCCUUUAUUCUCGCUUACCUUUUUCCUCCUGUCUACUCUGUUUUAGCUUCUUUGUCGCCUUAGGGAGCAAGUGCUUAGGGAAUUGGGAUUCACAGAUAUAUUUAAAAAGGUCAAGGUACGUCAUCUCUCUACUUUAUUUCAUAUGUAUAACUUGACUUGUUCUUCAUUUCUUACAAUUGCAAUUUCUCAAUGAACAACAGAUAAACAUAUAAAGGACGUUAAUAAAAAGAUGAAAUCCAUCACAAUUAUAAAAAAUGUGGAUCAUCUAAGUAGGUUCUUGGACAUACAUUUGGUUGAAACUUCAGAAAAAGCUUUUGAAGUUGAAAGAUGAUUUUUGGAAGUUGAAGUUGUGUUUGGACGUGUAUUUUUAUUGAAAAAGAGUUGGAGGUUUUGUGAGAGAAUAAAACAUUCACCGAAGAAGAGGUCAAAAUCGAUUUUCCAAACAUAAACAACGCAUCGUCAAAAACUAACCAAAAGAUUGUUCCAAUUUAUAACCAAGCAAUAUUUAGAAUUGCUGGAGUCUAUUGGAAACGACGUCUCUACCUCACCUCUGAGGUAGUGGUACGGACUGCAUGCACUCUACCUGGACCCGACUUUGUGGGAAUACACUGGGUAUUUAUAAAAAAAAAAAAGGAAAAUAUUCCUGUCUAUGAACCGGUACUUCAUGCAUGACUUUGCAAGCACACACUUCAGUCUCUCCGGUUGAUGUGAGCAUGCUUUAUUAUUCAAAUAAGCAAUCCCAAUUCUCCUUGGAGAUUUUUUGUGGAUUGACUUUUAGGUCAAAUAAAUAAGCUCAUUGCGCAUUUGAAAAUCAUUUUUGUGGUUCUUUUAACACAUUAUCCCAUGUGAAUCAAAAUUUAUAGAGGGUUUUGAUUGUUUUUUGUUGUUGGGCAUGUGUAAAUCCACUAGGACGAAGAAAAUGCAAAGGCUAUAGCUUUAUUUGAGGACGUAGUUCAGCUAAAUGAUGCUAUUGAGGAUGAAGCUAAGCGUAUGGAGAACUUGGUCAAAGGGAUUUUUGCAGGAAACCUAUUUGAUCUUGGUUCGGCACAGGUUGGUAAUGUUUCAUAUAUAAAGAGAUAUAUGUGCUUAACAUUAUUUGUUCCACUGGCUUGCCAUGACUACACCGAGGUAUGGCGUCCAUGCCCUUUCAUGAAUGACUCCUGAAUAAAGAAAUUUAUUUAUAUGACAUUUGUGCCUUUGAUUAUGUGGCAAGAGUACUCAUAUACCAAUAUCGUGGGUGGGGGUGGGGGGAGCCCAAUGCACUAAGCUUUUGUUGCGCGCGGGGUUUGAAGGAGUAAUUAAAAAUUGUGGAAAUAGUUCCUAUAAAGCAUGUAAUUUGAGAACUAAAUUUGUGUUUGUCAUAACAAGUGCUUUUUCGUUGGGUGCAUUUUGAAAGAAACCAUUUUUAAGUCUCCGCAACAAUUUAACCCCAAUAGGAAUGUCGGAAGUGCAAGUGAUCAAUGAUCUAUUUACAAUUAUCACAAAGAAGUCGGUUCAUCUUCAUCACGAGUCUGGCCAUGAUGUAUAUUUGUAUUAUAUGCAAUUAUAGUUGUGGUUAGACAUACUCGGUUGUAUGGGGCGGAGUGUUGGUCAGUCAAGAGCUCCCACGUUCAGAAGAUGCAUAUUUCGUCUUCUUGCUCACACAUAGGAAAUGAAAUAGCUUUAAGAAACCCCUUGCACUAAAGGAUUCUCACUCCCCUUGUUGACAAUCCUAAAUUCGUACAACAAUGUUCAUGAGAUCUUUAUUUUGUCUCUUUCAAGCACACUACCUUGGCUUUCACUCUCUCAAACCAAUCAUAAUGAUUAACUUCUUAUUCCCUAUAAUUUAUGCUCGUAAAACAUCAAGAGAUACACUUUUUUGAUCUUUAAUUCAACUUUUCAAGAGGUGCUCUCAUUUGUGCUGAUGUACCUAUGAGGAUUGUAUAAAUAAUUUCGUAUGUAUUCUUCCAAAUGCACUCCUAGAGAAAGUAGAAAUUGAUGCACACAAAUGCAUACUUAAUAUAAGUUUGUGUAGAGUUUUACUUCUUGAGUUAACAGAAUCUAUUCAGAUUCUUCCACAUGCUAAAAAUCUAAGUUGAUUUUUGAUAUCCUUCACUUGCUUAAAUCACAAUUAGCAUGUUGAAAAUGAACAGUUUCAAGGUUGAAUCAGUUGUUCUUAAUGAGUAUUUUUUGAAGCUUGCGGAGCUGUUUUCAAGGGAUGGUAUUUCAUUUCUAGCUAGUUGCCAAAACCUCCUCCCUCGACCUUGGGUUAUUGAUGACUUGGAAUCUUUCAUAACAAAAUGGAGCAGAAAAUCAUGGAAAAAGGUUAGUAGUGGUUAAUCAUAUGUGAAACUUGUCUUCUCGACUGAGCUUUAUGUUUUUACUUGUUUAUGAAUAAUAUCCGAUGCAUUUGAUGUAUGCUGAUUCACUGAUUUGCUUACUCCUAUACAGGUUGUAAUCUUUGUGGAUAAUUCUGGUGCAGAUAUUAUUCUGGGCAUUCUGCCAUUUACUAGAGAAUUACUUCGUCAUGGGACACAGGUUUACUUGGAAGCCUUGUUUCUUUCUUGCACAUAAAUGGGAAAUUUCUAGAUUUCACUAAACUGAAAAAGAUAAGAUAGGUUACAAAUUCUUCUUUGACAACAUCGCGAAAUUUAAAAUGCCAUCUUAUAGGCAUCUUUAACAUGCUCAAUUCUGUAGCUAUUGAUUAGAGUUAACACCUCUAAAUAUUUUAACAUGCUCCGUUCUGUAUCUUAUGAGGGUGAAUUUAUCCGCUUGUCAUUUUUUUUAGCUGCAUUCAGUUAAAUGGAGAUGGUUUAUUUUUCAGUGUAACAUUAGGUGAAUAGGUGUUCUGUGUCGCUCUUAUGCCUGAAUUGUACUUGUGGCACUUCUUUUCUUCUUCAUAAGGUUAUAAUUUGUUUUGGUAAAUUUGGGGAGUGCCUCAUACAAGUGGUGUAUCAUGAAGUAGAGAAUCUAAUCCAAAAAUACGAUUACCAACGAAGAGUAUUAGAGUACCAAAUCAUUUAUACUAACAAGAAUCUCAUAGGUAUUUCGUAUUCCAAAUGCUUAUAAAGAAAAAAGAAAUUUGGCACCUUGAGUUCAUCACUGUUAUCUUAUUUCUAUUCCCUCAAUCCAAUGAGACUAAGGAGUUAUAGGACAGAAACUCUGAGGAUAUUGCCAUAUAGUUAAAAGUUCAAAAAUACUUAAUAGACCAGAUUUUAAGUAUGAAUGAAGCCUCAUUAUACAUUAACAGUUUUCAUAUUCAUAGACUUGAUAAUCUGUGGCAUAGCCAGGUUUUUUUAUCAAGGGUGUUCAUACUUUUAGAACUAAGAGGUGGAAAAAAAAGAUUGCUAUACUUGGGGAUCGAACGCACACGGCUGGGGUGAAUCUGCACACCCUUGGCCGCUGGGUUGUUGUUGCUUCCUGUGUCAAGAUUGUUCAGUUAUUACAUAUAUUUUAAAAAUAUUAUAUAUAAUCUAUAUACUCGAAAAAAAAUUCGGACGAAGGUUGUUCAUUUGACCAUGCUUGCGACAACAUAGCUCCGCCCAUGUUGAUAAUUCUAUGAAGUUGCAUCAGAUUGGAUUAAGCUUUGGCUGUUGUUGAGUGUUCACAACUCAAUUAAGCUUUCCUUGUAAUUGAUGUUGGCAAUCUUUUUUGUCUUUGCAGAUUAUUUUGGCAGCUAAUGACUUACCUUCUAUUAAUGAUGUUACUUACCCGGAGUUGGUAGAAAUAAUAUCCAAGGUGGUAGAAAUGUUAUGUUUCGAUGUUUGAUGCUCUCAAGUUUACCUACUUUAGGUUUAAUUAACAUGUAUUUUUGCUUAUUAACAGUUGAAAGAUGAGCACGGGAAGCUUGUAGGUGUGGACACAUCGAACCUUUUAGUUGCAAAUUCUGGAAAUGAUUUGCCGGUUAGGGGAAAUCACUUAUCUGCUUCAUUUGAAUGAUAUGUUGUCCCCCCCACCCCCACCACACACAUGCACACACACUCCUCAAAGGAAGAAAAGGGUGGAAUCCUGUGACUUAUUUCUGAACCCUAGAUUGCGCCUCUAAAUUGAGGUUUGCGACGAGAGUCGAGCAUUGACCACACAUAAUUUCUACUUCCUAGCUUGUUAAUCUUCGCUCGAGCUAAUAUUCGAGUAGCUAUUCCUUCACAAACUCUUAUAUAGUAUAAUUCCAGCAUUUACAAAUUUAAUUAGUAAAUCCCCCAAAAUUAUAUGUUCACAAAAACUCAAUGCAUCAAAAGUUAACACAAUAAAAGUAAAGUUGCUAAAUUGCCAAAAAUGGGUACUUUCUCCAGAAUUUAUGAACAUAUCUAGCUGCUCUGCCUUAAUUGACAGGCUUAUUUCACUGUGACCACAGGUUAUUGAUCUUACGAGAAUAUCACAAGAGCUUGCCUACUUGGCGAGCGAUGCUGACCUUGUCAUUCUGGAAGGCAUGGUGAGCCUUUUGCUGUCAAUGCUUUGUCACCGGCACCACAGCUUUUGUUUCUUACCACAACACCAUCAGCAAUAUACGUUAUAAAUUCUAUCCAUAUUUACUAUGAUCGCCAAGGCAUACUUUACCCGAUUGCAUUUUCUUAAAAUUGAGAUAAUACCUUUUAUAGAAAUUUCUUCUGGCCGAGCUACAACAAUUACACCAAUUAAAGCAACUAGAAGAAUUAUUGAAAUCAGUUCAAAUGGAAGAAAUAUUGGUUGCAAGUGGCUCUUUCUUGAGGGCAUGCAGUUAGAUUAAGGCAUAGGACUGGCAAUGAUGCUUAUGUAGGUGGGAACGUAUCUCUUACCCCUGGCAUCUCUGGAAGGUUCUCCUGCCCCCAUCCUGGAUCCACUAACUUUUCGUUCUAUUGCUCCCCCGUAUAAUCACAUAGAAAGAUAACUACAACAACAACAUACCCAGUGAAAUCCCACAAGUGAGGUUUGAGGAGGGUAGAUUGUACGCAGACCAUACCACUAACUCGCGAAGGUAGAGAGACUGUUUCCAAAAGACCCUAGACUCAAGUGUAGCAAAUCCAAGUAUAGAGAAGAAGGGAACAAUGAAAAAAAUAUAGCAACUAACAAGAAACAAGAACAACAACAAAAUAGUGCGAUAGUCGAAACACAAUAAACCACAGAGUAUGAUAGAUAUCACAAGCAUGGACUACAAUACUAUGGCUAGUACAACGACAAACACCAACAAGCCCAAAGCUCAAAAAGCGAGACAACACUUCUACCCGACUUGCUUUCUGUGCUAAUACAUAUGCUCCAUAGCCUAGUAUCUAAGGUAAUGUCCUUGUUAACUUGAAGUUGCAUCAUGUCCCAUCUAAUUACCUUCCCAAUACUUUUUCCGCCUACCUCUACUUCUCAUCGUAUUGACUAUAUCCAACCUCUCGCACGUCCCAUCUCAAUCUCGCUUCCCUCAUCUUGUCCACCACGAAGGCCACUCCACCUUUUCUUGAAUAACCUCAUUCCUAAUCGUAUCUCACCUAGUAUGCUCACACAUCCACCUCAGCAUUCUCAUCUCCGCAACAUGUAUCAGAGAUGGGAGUUUUUGACUGGCCAAAACUCCGGCCCAUACGUCGGUCUAAUCACAUAGAAAGAGAUGAAUGUAAAUUUAUUUUUGCCUCCCAAAACUUUUGUUGCUAACCAGUUCUCUCCUUUUCUUUUUCUUUUUUCUUUUUUUUUUUGGCGUGAGGGGGAAGGCUUUUCUAGAAUUUAAACUACAAACCUCUAAUGGACUAACUCAAGAAGACUCUCUUCUAUCUGAUUUUCCAUGUGUGAGGUAUGCUAAACAGUUCUCUCCUUCUCUGUAUACUUAAAAAACCCAGUCACUCUUUUUUCUUUUUGACAAUGGAAAACCCAGUCACUCCUUGACUUCUUAAUAUGCUAAAUCAGUCUCAUGUUUCAGUGAAUGCAUAUGUUUCUUGAGAAAGUAUCCUUUCUCAAGGCAAGUACAAAAGGGUUUCCACUUGGCAUACCCUGAUUACCUUCCUGAUUUGUAAUCUCUGAUUGGAGCUGUAUUGUGUAUGUAGUGUAUAGUUUUCCCGAAUUUUCAGGUUUCAAAAAGAUAAUUAUUACCUGAAUAGCAACUGAUUUGACUCAACAACCAGACCAUUUCCCAUAAUUAAGGGUAUUUCCGAUAUGAAGGAAAAUGUUUUCCGUAGAAAAUAAAUGGGUUUCUUACUUAUUUUUUCGGGUUCGGUAUGUAUGCAAAAAAUAUUAUCCUAAAAUCAUUUGUAUGUAAUCUAGACAAAUACUAUCAGAGGUGGGGGUUGGUGGUGGGGAUGUGAGCUACAGGGGUGGGGUGAAGAUGAGUUAUCGUGGAGGUUUGGGAGGACACAAUCAAUGUGGAAUGCUACUUGUAGAACUUGUUUUACAUACUUCCAUUAAGUCAUUUUCCUCAUUUUUAAGCAACUUAUCUUCCUACAGAAAAUAUUUUUCAAAAACUUUGACCAGCCGAACACGAGAAAAUUGGAAAACACUUUCCAGAAAAUGUUUUCCUCCACACGGAACACACCCUAAGAUUGAGGUGGUAGUUCUUCCUUAGGUACCAUGGAGCUUGUAAAUACUGUGAACUUUCUUCCGGGCUGCUUUCAAAUAACCAUUUGACAAAAUAUCAAAACAAAGUGAAUAAUGCUUUUGUCAACGUCAUAUAUGCAAAAUUCUUUAAGUUGUCAGAUUUAAGUAAUUGUACUUUUCAUAAUCUCUCUCUCUCCCUCUAACUCACUGACACUUAGCUAUCAUAUUGAUUUCUUUUGCCAGGGCCGUGGUAUAGAGACAAACCUUUAUGCUCAAUUCAGAUGUGAUUCCCUGAAGAUUGGAAUGGUAAUGCCUUAUUUAUAGAUGCGCAUGCCAAACCCACCCACCUGAUGCCAGCACUCUUCACCUUCUGGCUUCCUCAGGGAACAAAGAGGGGAAGAACUCCCUUUUUAAGGGAUUUUGUCACUAUAUAAUCCGGCUGGAGGUGGGGAUAUAUUUCACCUGAUGAUUAUAAUAUUGAUGCACCUCAGCCCUUUUUUUCUGGUGUUUUCAGGUGAAGCACCCAGAGGUUGUUGAGUUUCUUGGAGGAAGGCUUUAUGAUUGUGUUUUCAAAUAUAACGGAAUUUUGGAAUAGAUAAAGUUGUUGACUGCUCAUAUCCUGCAACUAGGCACACUCAACAAAAAUAGGAUUCUUGUAAAACUAUUUAGUAGAUAUCACUUGCAAGAUCAAGGAACAAUGUAAAAUUAUUGAACAGAUUUUAGUGGACAUCACUAGUAAGAACACUGCAGAAUCUGGUUUAAGAUUGUUAGUUUGCUAUGAAGCAUUUCUAUCCAAUGCUAUUGUGAACAUGUGAGUGACGGGUAUGGCAACUGAAAUCUGCAGUGUCCUAAUAGUUGUUCUAUAGCGCUCUGAGCAGUAACUGGUAAGCUACAAGAUCGUAUGUGUUGUUGGCAGUUGGCUGGGCAUUUCAGGACAGCAGUGCUGUUUUAUAAUUUGCUAAACUGUUAAUUACUGUCAAUUUGAGGCAAUAACAGCAGGACAGAUUUUAAAGAAGGAAAAUAGCUUGGUAAUCGAUUGAUUGGUUUGUGAAGCCAUCCCCGACGGUAAGCCGUUGUAUUUCUGACUCACGGUGCUAUGUGGCAUAGUGCCUUUGUUUCAUUCGGAAUAUGUUGAGUCAAGUGCAUCAACUGACCACACAAAUUUGAAGCACUUUAUUUCUCCUUGCCACUCUGUAACUUUGGGUGCACAAGGAUUUAAAGUGGAACAGGAAGUAGUAGCACAGUUUUUUAGGUGAGACUUAGGGGUUAAAAUAAAAGGAGUGUACAAGUGUAAUUGAAAUAUGUACAGGCUGGGUGUUGGUGAGGGAGGGGCAAAAGAGUCUCACAAAUAAUAUAUAGGAGAAGAACAUAACAGGCUGUCAAAUGGGAAACGUAGGAAUGUGCGGGUGACGGUGAAUGAGCGAUGACCACGCACCUCACCUCGUUUAUUUAUUUAUAUAUAUUGCUGUCCUAUACUCGAGAGUUAUUAGUUGGCGCCUGGCGGGGGGUUUUCAUAUCAUCAUUUCUUGUGAUCUCAGACUAUAUAUUAAUUAUUAGAUUGAUUUCUUCUAUCAUACUAAUCAGCAGCAGCAUGAGCUCUCUUGUUCAAAGUUUUAAGAGCAAGGAGGCUCUGCCCAUGUCCAUGUCGCAAGGAGGAGGAGGAGGAGUCCGCAAAAGGUUGUCUUCUCUCUCUCUAAGGAUGAACAUGCGCACCCGUGAACAGCCCAUCCUCUCCUCAUGGGCAUUUCGCCGGUCGGCCGACAAUUCCAUUCGGAAAUGGUGGGACUGGGGAUUGGGUUGGAUCAUGUCCAAGAAGCUCACAUUUGCCAAGGAUCUGGAAAUGAGCGAAGAGGAGAAAGCCGUAUUGGGAUGCAACAGCAAGGGCACCUGGAUCCACGUAUUUUACAAAGUAAGGUCGGAGCUGCGGAGGCUCGUGCGGCAACAAUGUCGGUCUGCCUCAAACCUUCCGCUAUGAUUCUCCCCUCCCCUCUACUGCACCUAGCAGCAGCUCCUUUUGUGAUGUUUGGUUAAUUCAUUGAUUGGUUGAUUGAUUCAAGACAAGUCUACUAGAUCGGAGUUAAAACGUCCAGCCAAAAUUUGUUUGCCUACCUAAAUGUAUAAAGUGAAUUAUUAUUGAGUUCAUAGCGGUCGGUCCUGGAGGCAGGCAUUGUAUUAUGUAAUUCUUUUGUGUCAUAUUAUGUACUUUCUUUCCGUUUGAUAUUAUUACGAGUAUUAUUAUGUACUAUAAAUUUUGGUUGGCCAAACAGUCGCCUCUCCGAUUUGGGAUUCAGCACUAAUGAUGUAUACAGUCAACAUUAGAAUAGAAUAGAAUAAUUGAAGAAGAUGUCGGCUGGCAGGCACAUGGAGAACUCGGAUCACCGACAGCUACUUUGCUCUGUAAAUGGGUGUCGGUGGCCGAAUAUGCCCUUUGGUCUUACUAGCGUGCGUCGUUUGGUUUGAAAACAAGUUAUUCCGGUAUUAGUUGUGUUGGGAUAAGUUAUGCUGAGAUUAUCUUUUAUUGAGUGUUUGGUUUGUUAUAUUCAAAGUAAUAUGCAUAAUAUAAUUUUUAGGAAUAAAUUGAUUAAUUAUCAAAAUACCC
This 39476-nucleotide long non-coding RNA is filed under the name Capsicum annuum. RNAcentral describes it as "long non-coding RNA (CANN_LNC013350)". Lineage: Eukaryota; Viridiplantae; Streptophyta; Magnoliopsida; Solanales; Solanaceae. The record is from RNAcentral.